RNAcentral lists this ribosomal RNA (253 nucleotides) under uncultured bacterium. RNAcentral describes it as "partial 16S ribosomal RNA". It matches the Rfam family "Bacterial small subunit ribosomal RNA", at positions 524 to 776 of the family's 1533-position model. The record is from RNAcentral.
UACAGAGGGGGCAAGCGUUGUUCGGAAUUACUGGGCGUAAAGGGCGCGUAGGCGGCCUGCUAAGUCGAACGUGAAAUCCCUGGGCUCAACCCAGGAACUGCGUCCGAUACUGGUUGGCUUGAAUCCGGGAGAGGGAUGUGGAAUUCCAGGUGUAGCGGUGAAAUGCGUAGAUAUCUGGAGGAAUACCGAUGGCGAAGGCAGGUCUCUGGGCUGACACUGACGCUCAUGCACGAAAGCGUGGGGAGCAAACAGG